GCAUUUCUACGGGGCGCAGCAGUGAGGAAUAUUGGUCAAUGGCCGGAAGGCUGAACCAGCCACGCCGCGUGAAGGACGAAGGUGCCAAGCAUUGUAAACUUCUUUUGUCAAGGGACAAAGUCAGGCUCGAGAGCCUGACCGAGGGUACUUGAAGAAAAAGCAUCGGCUAACUCCGUGCCAGCAGCCGCGGUAAUACGUAGGGGACUAGCGUUAUCCGGAAUUACUGGGCGUAAAGGGUGCGUAGGUGGUUUCUUAAGUCAGAGGUGAAAGGCUACGGCUCAACCGUAGUAAGCCUUUGAAACUGG
Molecule: ribosomal RNA, 305 nt
Filed under: uncultured bacterium
Lineage: Bacteria
Description: bacterial SSU rRNA
Rfam family: Bacterial small subunit ribosomal RNA
Source: RNAcentral